This 511-nucleotide ribosomal RNA is filed under the name uncultured bacterium. Its description in RNAcentral is "bacterial SSU rRNA". It matches the Rfam family "Bacterial small subunit ribosomal RNA", at positions 15 to 518 of the family's 1533-position model. The record is from RNAcentral.
GAUCCUGGCUUAGGAUGAACGCUAGCUACAGGCUUAACACAUGCAAGUCGAGGGGCAGCAUUGGAGUAGCAAUACUCAGAUGGCGACCGGCGCACGGGUGAGUAACACGUAUCCAACCUGCCGCUUACUCGGGGAUAGCCUUUCGAAAGAAAGAUUAAUACCCGAUGGUAUAAAGAGUUCGCAUGUUCUCUUUAUUAAAGAAUUUCGGUAAGCGAUGGGGAUGCGUUCCAUUAGAUAGUUGGCGGGGUAACGGCCCACCAAGUCUACGAUGGAUAGGGGUUCUGAGAGGAAGGUCCCCCACAUUGGAACUGAGACACGGUCCAAACUCCUACGGGAGGCAGCAGUGAGGAAUAUUGGUCAAUGGACGAGAGUCUGAACCAGCCAAAGUAGCGUGAAGGAUGACUGCCCUAUGGGUUGUAAACUUCUUUUAUAAGGGAAUAAAGUGAGGGACGUGUCCCUUUUUGUAUGUACCUUAUGAAUAAGGAUCGGCUAACUCCGUGCCAGCCGCGGC